AUGGGGAAGCAUAAGCUCACUCUGAAGACCGAGGAGGACUCCAAUCCUCGUGAUAAGUACAUAACUUGGACUGACGAGGCGACAAGGUUUAUGCUUGAGUGGUAUAUCGACCUUCGUAAGGACAAACCUGCAACUUUCAAGUUCAAGAAACAACACUUGCAAUGUGUCCAUGCUCUAAAUGGAAAGUUUUCGCUUGGUGUCACUCAAACCCAAGUGGAUCGACACUAUCGUCAAUGCAAGGAGAAGUGGGGCUGGGUGCGUUGUGCCAUGGCCAAUAGUGGCAAUGGCCUUGACAGAACCACUUUCACAUUCACACUUUCCGAGUCAUAAAAGCAAAGACUCAAUUCUCAUGCCGAUGGCUCACUUGCACUUGACCAAACCACUGUUAAUGUGGAUGAUGGUAGUGAUGACAGCGAGGAUGUGAGGGAACUUGAAGGAAAUCUAAUUCCAGCAAACAGUGAUGAAGCUGACUCUGACACUAUUGAUCGUCGCAGUCCUAAAGUCGACUUGGAUGGCAAUCCAUUAAACAAGAAGCGCAAGUGUGCAUCAUCAUCACCUUCCAAGAAGCCAACCAAGGGCAAAGCAAACAAGAAGGGCAAGGUAUCUAAUGAUGAUAUGGUAACCAGUAUCAAGAAGCUAGCUGAAUCCCUUGCAUCCCCAAUUGUGUCUGUGCAACCAAUGCCACCUGCAGAUCCUUAUGCAAAUCUUUGGAAGUGGAUCAAUGCCCUUACCAUCCCAGCUAAGGAUAAACUUGAGAUUGUUGCUUAUGUAUCCAAGCCAGACCAAUAUAUCUUUCGUAGCUAUCUUAACUAUGCUGAUGAACCAAUUCUUCGAGAGUGGGUCAUUAGCUACUUUGAGCCUCAGUUUCAUGAAGGUGGCAAUGAUGGAUCUGUGGCUGCUCACAGAAUUGCCACGUGGUUAGAUAGAGUUUGUGGCAACCUUUGUUUAUAUCUCUAG
This 957-nucleotide ribosomal RNA is filed under the name Triticum aestivum (bread wheat). RNAcentral's name for it is "partial small subunit ribosomal RNA". Lineage: Eukaryota; Viridiplantae; Streptophyta; Magnoliopsida; Poales; Poaceae. The record is from RNAcentral.